GUACGUAUGCUCAUCAUACAUAUAAAAACAUCACUACUCUCAUCUCUUGCGUUGAGCCCAAUAUGGUUUUCUUUUUAUCAAAUUAUUAUAAUACAUACCUACUCAUCCUACUCAUUACAACUGAGAGGCUAUCCAUGUCUUAUUAUUAUCCGCUAUGAAAUAUGCAGAUAUACGUAUUAAUUUGCUUAAUCCAUUGUUGAUGGAAAUAAAAUGUCUCUUAGAUUUCUAUAUAUUUGUACAUUAUACCGUUUUACUAAGUCGAAUUAAAUGAUUUUGACCGGAUAAUGAUCGGCCGUCGACGUAGAACAUAAUAAUCCUCCGUAAGUCAUAUAAUUGCAGCGGGAUACAUAUUAUCCGUUUGUAUACGCAUAUAUUAUAGAUGUAGCGCACUCCAUUAUGAUGGUUCGGAAGGAAUACGUUUGCCACCGACGCCGGUGUAAUAGUCAAAAUUUGUUUUGAGAACACGGGUAAAAGUCAAUUAUUAUACCUAU
Non-coding RNA from Cinara cedri, 491 nucleotides. Lineage: Eukaryota; Metazoa; Arthropoda; Insecta; Hemiptera; Aphididae. The record is from the annotation of a GenBank genome assembly.